GGGACACGUGGUAUCCUGUCUGAAUAUGGGGGGACCAUCCUCCAAGGCUAAAUACUCCUGACUGACCGAUAGUGAACCAGUACCGUGAGGGAAAGGCGAAAAGAACCCCGGCGAGGGGAGUGAAAAAGAACCUGAAACCGUGUACGUACAAGCAGUGGGAGCACGCUUAGGCGUGUGACUGCGUACCUUUUGUAUAAUGGGUCAGCGACUUAUAUUCUGUAGCAAGGUUAACCGAAUAGGGGAGCCGAAGGGAAACCGAGUCUUAACUGGGCGUUAAGUUGCAGGGUAUAGACCCGAAACCCGGUGAUCUAGCCAUGGGCAGGUUGAAGGUUGGGUAACACUAACUGGAGGACCGAACCGACUAAUGUUGAAAAAUUAGCGGAUGACUUGUGGCUGGGGGUGAAAGGCCAAUCAAACCGGGAGAUAGCUGGUUCUCCCCGAAAGCUAUUUAGGUAGCGCCUCGUGAAUUCAUCUCCGGGGGUAGAGCACUGUUUCGGCAAGGGGGUCAUCCCGACUUACCAACCCGAUGCAAACUGCGAAUACCGGAGAAUGUUAUCACGGGAGACACACGGCGGGUGCUAACGUCCGUCGUGAAGAGGGAAACAACCCAGACCGCCAGCUAAGGUCCCAAAGUCAUGGUUAAGU
RNAcentral lists this ribosomal RNA (645 nucleotides) under Escherichia coli. RNAcentral describes it as "partial 23S ribosomal RNA". It matches the Rfam family "Bacterial large subunit ribosomal RNA", at positions 419 to 1064 of the family's 2925-position model. The record is from RNAcentral. Lineage: Bacteria; Pseudomonadati; Pseudomonadota; Gammaproteobacteria; Enterobacterales; Enterobacteriaceae.